AUAUCUCUCUGUACGGGAAGGAUGAGAAGCUUCUACCAGGGUUCGAUUCGAGCGCAGCGAGAAAGCGUUGCCGCAGGCAACGACCC
RNAcentral lists this small RNA (86 nucleotides) under Salmonella enterica. RNAcentral describes it as "partial RtT sRNA". It matches the Rfam family "RtT RNA", at positions 1 to 85 of the family's 130-position model. Rfam says of the family: This family represents a bacterial cis-regulatory element known as RtT RNA. Lineage: Bacteria; Pseudomonadati; Pseudomonadota; Gammaproteobacteria; Enterobacterales; Enterobacteriaceae. The record is from RNAcentral. RNAcentral also lists the same sequence under 2 other names.